RNAcentral lists this ribosomal RNA (484 nucleotides) under uncultured bacterium. Its description in RNAcentral is "partial 16S ribosomal RNA". It matches the Rfam family "Bacterial small subunit ribosomal RNA", at positions 30 to 507 of the family's 1533-position model. The record is from RNAcentral.
AUUGAACGCUGGCGGCAGGCCUAACACAUGCAAGUCGAGCGGAUGAAGGGAGCUUGCUCCUGGAUUCAGCGGCGGACGGGUGAGUAAUGCCUAGGAAUCUGCCUGGUAGUGGGGGAUAACGUCCGGAAACGGGCGCUAAUACCGCAUACGUCCUGAGGGAGAAAGUGGGGGAUCUUCGGACCUCACGCUAUCAGAUGAGCCUAGGUCGGAUUAGCUAGUUGGUGGGGUAAAGGCCUACCAAGGCGACGAUCCGCAACUGGUCUGAGAGGAUGAUCAGUCACACUGGAACUGAGACACGGUCCAGACUCCUACGGGAGGCAGCAGUGGGGAAUAUUGGACAAUGGGCGAAAGCCUGAUCCAGCCAUGCCGCGUGUGUGAAGAAGGUCUUCGGAUUGUAAAGCACUUUAAGUUGGGAGGGAGGGCAGUAAGUUAAUACCUUGCUGUUUUGACGUUACCAACAGAAUAAGCACCGGCUAACUUCGUG